RNAcentral lists this ribosomal RNA (204 nucleotides) under uncultured bacterium. RNAcentral describes it as "partial 16S ribosomal RNA". It matches the Rfam family "Bacterial small subunit ribosomal RNA", at positions 29 to 258 of the family's 1533-position model. The record is from RNAcentral.
AACGAACGCUGGCGGCAGGCCUAACACAUGCAAGUCGAACGCCCGUAGCAAUACGGGAGUGGCAGACGGGUGAGUAACGCGUGGGAACGUGCCCUUCGGUUCGGAAUAACUCAGGGAAACUUGAGCUAAUACCGGAUACGUCCGUAAGGAGAAAGAUUUAUCGCCGAAGGAUCGGCCCGCGUCGGAUUAGCUAGUUGGUGAGGU